AUCAACGCUGGCGGCGUGCCUAACACAUGCAAGUCGAACGCGAAAGCCCCGCAAGGGGUAAGUAGAGUGGCAAACGGGUGAGUAACACGUGGGUGACCUGCCUUCGAGUGGGGGAUAACGUCCCGAAAGGGACGCUAAUACCGCAUGACAUCCUGCUUUUGAAAAAGCGGAGAUCAAAGCUGGGGAUUGCAAGACCUAGCGCUUGAAGAGGGGCCCGCGCCUGAUUAGCUAGUUGGUGAGGUAACGGCUCACCAAGGCGACGAUCAGUAUCCGGCCUGAGAGGGCGGACGGACACACUGGGACUGAGACACGGCCCAGACUCCUACGGGAGGCAGCAGUGGGGAAUUGUUCGCAAUAGGCGCAAGCCUGACGACGCAACGCCGCGUGGAGGACGAAGAUCUUCGGGUCGUAAACUCCUGUCGAGCGGGACGAACGCUUCGCGGAUGAAUAAUCCGCGGAAUUGACGGUACCGCUAAAGGAAGCCCCGGCUAACUCCGUG
RNAcentral lists this ribosomal RNA (499 nucleotides) under uncultured bacterium. RNAcentral's name for it is "partial 16S ribosomal RNA". It matches the Rfam family "Bacterial small subunit ribosomal RNA", at positions 32 to 507 of the family's 1533-position model. The record is from RNAcentral.